This 29-nucleotide non-coding RNA is filed under the name Homo sapiens (human). The record is from RNAcentral. Lineage: Eukaryota; Metazoa; Chordata; Mammalia; Primates; Hominidae.
UGGGCCAGGUACAGAGAUGAGAAGUGGGU